AAACAAAACAUAAAUUUUUAAAA
This 23-nucleotide small nuclear RNA is filed under the name Arabidopsis thaliana (thale cress). Its description in RNAcentral is "snRNA_17961". The record is from RNAcentral. Lineage: Eukaryota; Viridiplantae; Streptophyta; Magnoliopsida; Brassicales; Brassicaceae.